AUUUUACGGUAGAUUGGUCGAAAAUGUUGAUCCAAACCUCCAAAAAAAUGUGUAGAAAAACAAAGAGGAAGAUUCAGACUAUCUUGUUGAUCACUCUAUAGUUUAGUAAGUAUACUAGUUAGUAUCCACUUAUAGAUAUGAUCUUAGCUAAAUGGAAUUUUUGUAUUGAUUGAAAAAAAGAGAAAAAAAAAAAGCAUUUCGAAUACAUUGUCAAUAUAAUUGAUUGAUGGCCUCAUAGGGAUAUGACAAAACAGAGAAUUUUUGAAAAAAAUUGUUGCCAAAAGAAGUUUUGAAGAAUAUAAAAAUGAGUGAUUG
This 315-nucleotide long non-coding RNA is filed under the name Capsella rubella. RNAcentral's name for it is "long non-coding RNA (CRUB_LNC004327)". The record is from RNAcentral. Lineage: Eukaryota; Viridiplantae; Streptophyta; Magnoliopsida; Brassicales; Brassicaceae.